GAUGAACGCUGGCGGUAUGCUUAACACAUGCAAGUCGAACGGACUCUUCGGAGUUAGUGGCGGACGGGUGUGUAACGCGUGAGAAUCUGGCUUUGGGUUCGGGACAACCACUGGAAACGGUGGCUAAUACCGGAUGUGCCGAGAGGUAAAAGAGAAAUUGCCUGCAGAUGAGCUCGCGUCUGAUUAGCUAGUUGGUGAGGUAAAGGCUCACCAAGGCAGCGAUCAGUAGCUGGUCUGAGGGGAUGACCGGCCACACUGGGAAUGAGACACCGCCCAGACGCAUACGGGAGGAAGCAGGGGGGAAUUGUCCGGAAUGGGCGAAAGACUGACGGAGCAAUACCGAGUGAGGGAAGAAGGCUCUUGGGGUGUAAACCUCUUUUCUUAGGGAAGAACAAAAUGACGGUACCUAAGGAAUCAGCAUCGGCUAACUACGUG
RNAcentral lists this ribosomal RNA (435 nucleotides) under uncultured bacterium. Its description in RNAcentral is "partial 16S ribosomal RNA". It matches the Rfam family "Bacterial small subunit ribosomal RNA", at positions 28 to 507 of the family's 1533-position model. The record is from RNAcentral.